GAUGAACGCUGGCGGCGUGCCUAAUACAUGCAAGUCGAGCGAAGCGGGGACGGGUGAGUAACACGUGGAUAACCUCCUCUAAGACUGGGAUACAUUCGGGCAACCGGAGCUAAACCGCAUACUUAUAGAUGGAUCCGCGCUGCAUUAGCCAGUUGGUAAUGUAACGUCUUACCAAGGCAACGAUGCAUAGCCGAACUGAGAGGAGGAUCGGCCACACUGGAACGGAGACACGGUCCAGACUCCUACGGGAGGCAGCAGUAGGGAAUCGGCCGCAAUGGGCGAAAGCCUGACGGAGAAACGCCGCGUGAGUGAGGAAGGUCUUCGGAUCGUAAAACUCUGUUAUUAGGGAAGCGGUACCUAAUCAGAAAGCCACGGCUAACUACGUGCCAGCAGCCGCGGUAAUAC
This 405-nucleotide ribosomal RNA is filed under the name uncultured bacterium. Its description in RNAcentral is "partial 16S ribosomal RNA". It matches the Rfam family "Bacterial small subunit ribosomal RNA", at positions 28 to 526 of the family's 1533-position model. The record is from RNAcentral.